Arvicanthis niloticus (Nile rat) is the source of this 1236-nucleotide non-coding RNA. The record is from RefSeq and is a predicted model, not a curated record. NCBI's taxonomy places the organism in Eukaryota, Metazoa, Chordata, Mammalia, Rodentia, Muridae.
AUGGCGGCCCUGAGGGCGCUUUGCUGCCUCCGCAGUGUCGGAGGCCAGGUGCUGCGGCCCAGGUCUGGGAUCUGCUUGCCGAGUCAGCCCAGCAGAGGUGCUCGGCAGUGGCAACCAGAUAUAGAAUGGGCAGAGCAGUUUGUGGGAGCUGUCAUGUACCCCUCCAAGGAAACAGCCUACUGGAAACCUCCUCCUUGGAAUGAUGUGGACAUUUUGAAGGAAAAUGUGGUGACCAAUAUGACCCUGAACUUUGGGCCCCAGCACCCAGCAGCCCAUGGAAUCCUGAGAGAAUUGAGUGGAGAGAUGGUGAGGAAAUGUGACCCUCACAUCGGGCUCCUGCACCAAGGCACGGAGAAGCUCAUUGAGCACAAGACCUAUCGGCAGGCCCUUCCAUACUUUGACCGGUUGGACUAUGUAUCCAUGAUGUGUAAUGAACAGGCCUAUUCCAUAGCUGUGGAGAAGUUGCUAAACAUCCAGCCUCCUCCCUGGGCACAGUGGAUCCGCGUGCUCUUUGGAGAGAUCACACGGAUUUUAAACCAUAUCAUGGAUGUUACCACACACGCCCUGGACAUUGGUGCUAUGACUCCGUUCUUUUGGAUGUUUGAAGAAAGAAAGAAGAUGUUUGAGUUCUAUGAGUGGGUGUCUGGAGCCCGGAUGCAUGCUGCUUAUAUCUGACCAGGAGGGGUGCACCAGGACCUACCUCUUGGACUUAUGGAUGACAUUUAUGAAUUUUCCAAGAACUUCUCUCUUCGGAUUGAUGAGGUGGAGGAGAUGCUGACCAACAAUAGAAUCUGGCGAAACAGGACAGUCGACAUUGGGGUUAUAUCAGCAGAAGACACACUUAACUACGGAUUCAGUGGGGUGAUGCUCCAGGGUUCAGGCAUCCAGUGGGACUUGUGGAAGACCCAGCCCUAUGAUGUCUAUGACCGGGUUGAGUUUGAUGUUCCUGUUGGUUCUCGAGGGGACUGCUACGAUAGGUACUAGUGUCGGGUAGAGGAGAUGCGCCAGUCUCUGCGAAUUAUUGAACAGUGUCUGAACAAGAUGCCUCCAGGGGAGAUCAAGGUUGAUGACGCCAAAGUGUCCCCACUUAAACGAGCAGAGAUGAAGACGUCCAUGGAGUCACUAAUUCAUCACUUUAAGCUGUAUACUGAGGGCUACCAAGUUCCUCCAGGAGCCACAUACACCGCCAUUGAAGCUCCUAAACAUACAUGCACGUGCUCACACUCAGCUGUCUAG